RNAcentral lists this unclassified non-coding RNA (242 nucleotides) under Massaria ariae. Its description in RNAcentral is "partial contains 5.8S ribosomal RNA, internal transcribed spacer 2, and large subunit ribosomal RNA". Lineage: Eukaryota; Fungi; Ascomycota; Dothideomycetes; Pleosporales; Massariaceae. The record is from RNAcentral.
CGCACAUUGCGCCCUUUGGUAUUCCGAAGGGUAUACCUGUUCGAGCGUCAUUUAAACCCCUCAAGCAUAGCUUGGUUUUGGGCGUCUUGUCUGUACCAGACUCGCCUUAAAAGUAUCGGCGCUAUCCUAUCAAAUUAUGGAAGCACAGUACAUUGUUGCUACUAAUUAAAAUAGGGGAGUAGCCAAACAUAUUCUUUUAUUAUUUUGACCUCGGAUCAGGUAGGGAUACCCGCUGAACUUAA